Molecule: long non-coding RNA, 364 nt
Filed under: Lathyrus oleraceus (garden pea)
Lineage: Eukaryota; Viridiplantae; Streptophyta; Magnoliopsida; Fabales; Fabaceae
Description: Pisum sativum (pea) long non-coding RNA (PSAT_LNC028882)
Source: RNAcentral
UUUUGGGGUAUGACAAACCACACAACCAAAUUUUCCCGGCAUUCCAACUUUACCAAAGUCAACAGCAUUGCCACCUUUGCCUUCAAUUUCAACAUUACCUCAAGCAAGUCUUCCUCCAUUACCUCCAUCUCUUCCUAAACUCACUAUGCCACCACUUCCUACCUUUCCUACAAAUAUUCCAACUCUCAACAUUCCACCAUUGCCAGCAAUCACUUCACUUCCCAACAUUCCCACCUCAAUCCCGACCACUUUCCCCUCCAUCCCAUUUCUCACCCCACCACCUUCUUCAACCUCUAGCCCUUAAACACUUUUUUACGAGUUGCAUAAUGUAAUCAGCUAAAUGUUUGCAAUAUGGACAUUAUUG